Molecule: regulatory RNA element, 110 nt
Organism: Salinispora tropica CNB-440
Lineage: Bacteria; Bacillati; Actinomycetota; Actinomycetes; Micromonosporales; Micromonosporaceae
Rfam family: TPP riboswitch aptamer (THI element)
About the family: Vitamin B(1) in its active form thiamin pyrophosphate (TPP) is an essential coenzyme that is synthesised by coupling of pyrimidine and thiazole moieties in bacteria. The previously detected thiamin-regulatory element, thi box was extended, resulting in a new, highly conserved RNA secondary structure, the THI element, which is widely distributed in eubacteria and also occurs in some archaea.
Source: Rfam
CAAGUGACCCGCGGGAGCCCGGUAGACCGGGCUGAGAGGGGGGCUGGGAGCCCCCGACCGUCGAACCUGAUCCGGGUAGUGCCGGCGCAGGGAGGAGAGUUGCCGUGUCG